CUUUUUAACAACUCAGGGAUUUCAUCCAACGUCACCACAUACUACGGCACACAGCUAUACAUCCAGAAUCCUAACCUCAGUCCCCUCAGUUUGCCAGGUGUCCUCCUGUGUGGAGCUCCUGGUUCUGCAUUUGUGUCUCUGAAUGCUACAGACAGUCAGACAAUCCUGGACAGCCUCAAGAAAUCCUGCCAACAAAUUAGUCCAGAGGCCACAGCAGCUCUUGUGGCAAACUUCCCCACUUUGUCCACGGAAACCAUCAAGUCGCUCGGCAACCAGAGCAUUGGUCUGAGUGAGGGCCAGAUAAGCGAUGCUAUCCCCAAU
Long non-coding RNA from Colossoma macropomum (tambaqui), 321 nucleotides. RefSeq lists it as uncharacterized. Lineage: Eukaryota; Metazoa; Chordata; Actinopteri; Characiformes; Serrasalmidae. The record is from RefSeq and is a predicted model, not a curated record. The transcript is spliced from 3 exons.